CAAAACCAGAGCAGACCAAACCAGAGCAGACCAAACCAGAGCAGUCCAAAACAGAGCAGUCCAAAUCAGAGCAGUACAAACAAGAGCAGUCCAAACAAGAGCAGUCCAAACCGAACCAGAGAAGUCCAAACCAGAGAAGUCCAAACCAGAGCCGACCGAACCAGAGCAGUCCAAACCAAACCAGAGCAGUCCAAACCAAACCAGAGCAGUCCAAACCAGAGCAGUCCAAACCAGAGCAGUCCAAACCAGAGCAGUCCAAACCAGAGCAGUCCAAACCAGAGCAGUACAAACCAGAGCAGUCCAAACCGAACCAGAGCAGUCCAAACCAGAGCAGUCCAAACCAGACCGGAGCAGUCCAAACCGGAGCAGUCCAAACCAGAGCAGUCCAAACCAGAGCAGUCCAAACCGAACCAGAGCAGUCCAAACCAGAGCAGUCCAAACCAGAGCAGUCCAAACCAGAGCAGUCCAAACCAAAUCAUAGCAGUCCAAACCAGAGCAGUCCAAAUCGGAGCAGUCCAAACCAGAGCAGUCCAAACCAGAGCAGUCCAAACCAAAUCAUAGCAGUCCAAACCAGAGCAGUCCAAACCAGAGCAGUCCAAAUCAUAGCAGUCCAAACCAGAGCAGUCCAAACCAGAGCCGUCCAAACCAGAGCAGUCCAAACCAGAGCAGUCCAAACCGGAGCAGUCCAAACCGGAGCAGAACAAACCAGAGCCGACCAAACCGGAGCAGUCCAAACCGGAGCAGUCCAAACCAGAGCAGUCCAAACCAGAGCAGUCCAAACCGAACCAGAGCAGUCCAAACCAGAGCAGUCCAAACCAGAGCAGUCCAAACCAGAGCAGUCCAAACCAGAGCCGACCAAACCGGAGCAGUCCAAACCGGAGCAGUCCAAACCAGAGCAGUCCAAACCAGAGCAGUCCAAACCGAACCAGAGCAGUCCAAACCAGAGCAGUCCAAACCGGAGCAGUCCAAACCGGAGCCGACCAAACCGGAGCAGUCCAAACCGGAGCAGUCCAAACCAGAGCAGUCCAAACCAGAGCAGUCCAAACCGGAGCAGUCCAAACCGGAGCAGAACAAACCGGAGCAGUCCAAACCGGAGCAGUCCAAACCUGAGCAGUCCAAACCUGAGCAGAGCAGACCAAGCGAAGGGAAGAGAUAACCACAUCACAGGGGCUGGAGGUUGAGAUUGACAUCCCCUGGUGGUACCAGAGUAUCACUGCAACUUCCUGGUCGCCCUCUGAUGACCUCAUCGUGUUACUGGGGUGUAUUCAUAAAGAGCCACCAGCCUCCUCCAUGUCUUGUUGGGGAAUUAAUGGGAUUUUAGGACAAAUGCAGAAAAUAAGGUCACCGGCUUAGGAGAUCUGAUAUGUUUUGAUAAUCUUUAUCAGCUAAUGUCACUUUUGUGUGAAUUUUCAAGCAAUUAUUUGAAUUCUGAAGCAAUUACAGUAUGUCCUCAGAAAAAGCCUCUAAGGCACAUAGAGGCCUCGUAAUUCAGUCAUGUUAACUGACUGAUAUUAUAUUACAGAACAAAACAUAGAAGAUAUCCUAGACCUGUGUUAACCUCAGACAUUAUUUUUGAACGUUUAUUACAAAGCCAUUAAUUUUCCCAAUAGGAAUGGCCUGAACGAACCAGAAGUAACACAUUUCAUUUAUUUUUUUUAGGACUACAAGCUGACGAUCUCUAUGAGUUGCAGUCCGUAGCAAAUGAAAAACGUUUUGUAACGAAAACGAGAGUCUCUAUUGGACAAAUUCAGGUAGGUCCCACCCAGUUUCUUUGUUUUUGUAGUGGAUACACUCCUGGUACUGCAGUUGUACCUCUCUGCUCUUUAGCUUCUCUACACAGAUUUAAAAUGACCAACAAUGACUGACUUAUAUAAUAGACUACAGUAUAUAUGGUAUAUUUAUAGAUCUAUAGAUAUAUAAAGAAAACAACAUCUGAUUGUUGAAAGCUUGAAAUCAGUAUACAUGAGUUUUUAAUGUCAUAAAACCAAAUCACCAGUUGUGUUACAGUACAACCCACUACACACAUCUCCAGUGCCACAUACAGCUCUCUCUCUGGCUCUGUCUCAGCUCUCUUUCUCUCUCCCUCUCUGUCUCUCUCUCUGGCUCUGUCUCAGCUCUCUUUCUCUCUCCCUCUCUGUCUCUCUCUCUGGCUCUGUCUCAGCUCUCUCUCUGGCUCUGUCUCAGCUCUCUCUCUCUCUCUCUCUCUCCCUUUCUGUCUCUCUCUGUCUCUCUCAGCUCUCUCUCUCUCUCUCUCUCUCUCUCUCUCUCUCUCUCUCUCUCUCUCUCUCUCUCCCUCUCUGUCUCUCUCUGCUCUCUCUCUCUCUCUCUCUCUCUCUCUCUCCCUCUCUGUCUCUCUCUGCUCUCUCUCUCUGUCUCUCUCUCUCUCUCUCCCUCUCUGUGGCUCUGUCUCAGCUCUCUCUCUCUCUCUCUCCCUCUCUGUCUCUCUCUGCUCUCUCUCUCUCUCUCUCUCUCUCUCUCCCUCUCUGUCGCUCUCUGUCGCUCUCUGUGGCUCUGUCUCAGCUCUCUCUCUCUCCCUCUCUGUCUCAGCUCUCUGCUCUCUCUGUCUCAGCUCUCUCUCUCUCUCUCUCUCUGCUCUCUCUGUCUCAGCUCUCUCUCUCGCUCUCCCUCUCUGUCUCUCUCUGAGCCAGUGGGAUGUAACUUACUGUAGAUUGUGAGUUACCAGGCACAUUAAACAUAACAGCCUUCAAUACAUGAUUACACCCAAACACAUUCCUGGCUGCUCUCUAACCCCCAUCCAUACCAGCGGGCAUUCUAUUUAACGCAUAUAUCCCUUUGAAUAUGUAACAAAUGAUAACGCAUAUUUACUCUGAUUAAGUGUCACGUGAAUGUAAUGAAAAGCUUGUCAAUGAGGCCAUCUCAUCUCAACCCUUUCAGACCAUGCAGGUAGUGAACUACAGAGGAUGACAGGUGUUCCUAGUCUUACAGUUCAAUAUUGGCAUUUUGUAGCAUAUUAUAAUUUUUUUUAACAGCAGAAGUCUCAAUAAAUAGAUGUAUAUUAGCAAAGUGCAUCAUGGAAGACCAGUAGAAAAAUACCUGUAAAUUAUCAAUCUGUUACAGUUCUCUGCAGAAACACAAUUUUUUUGGGGGGGGGAUUUUUUGAAAACUUUGUAAGACCAAGAUAUUAUUCAUAGUAAUAACAAAUAAAAAUAACAAUGCAAUUUCUUAAACGUUUUAGGGAGAUAUAAUAGAUCUUUAGAAAACAUGAAGAAGACAUUGGAGCGCAUCUAAAAUGGCACCCUAUUCCCUAUAAAGUGCAAAGCCAGAACCGUAUGGGCCCUGGUCUAAAGUAGUGCACUAUAUAGUGAAUAGGGUACCAUUUGCGACACUGAUAUCCUUUUCCCAAUAUACGACCCCCCCCCCCCAUACCAAGCCACAGUAGUCCCUGUAGGACUGAAGGAGCUGAAUGUGACCACAUUGAAACAAAUAGUCAAAAUAUACA
Molecule: long non-coding RNA, 3460 nt
Filed under: Salmo salar (Atlantic salmon)
Lineage: Eukaryota; Metazoa; Chordata; Actinopteri; Salmoniformes; Salmonidae
Description: lncRNA (ENSSSAG00000120076.1)
Source: RNAcentral